UUAGAAAUGGGACUUGGUAUGUACGAACAUGGCAAUAACAUGUUGUACAAUUAGCUAUGUGAAGUGUACUACAAACUUGGCUUUAUUUUAUUGGACGUUAUUUUUUUGUUAUUUUCCUCUUGACACGCGUAUUUGCACUCAAAACAACUCACCAGCUAACAUGGAUCUUUAAAGUUCACUUUCUUCUUCAUUGACUCUUUCAGAUUAAAGUUUGUUAAAUGUAUUUGCUGAAAGGAAAUUUGGAUGAAAAUGACUAUAAACAAAAUAAUGCUUAGCAACCAUCCAAAAAAGUUGUUGAUGAAGAUGGAGAUACUGUUGUUCAAAUUUCGACAUACAUUCAUCAUCUGAAUCAAAUUUUGGCGCUGCCGAACUUAUUUUAAUUUCAAGAGCUUAUAUCACAAUAAUGUUAUUACUUUAUAACAUUAAGGUAAUCAACUGUGUCCAACAAAGUACAGCAAAAUCAAGCCAACAUUUUAGACUCAUACAAAGAUCAGUUGAACUGCUGCAACCUUUGGUGUGCCUAAUGAUGAUACAAGAAAACCUUGCAAGCUGACUUCCUUCUUGGAUUAUAAGGUUUGAAUAACCCACAUUGUGAGUGAAGUUGAAAAACAUGUAUCAAGUAAAUUCACCCUUUCAUUUAUAACAUUUCAGUUCUGUAUUCACAGUUUCGACAUACAUUUAUUAUUUAGACUCGGGGUUGCUAGAGUUUUCCUACUACCUUUCACUCGGGGGAGAUACUACUAUUUUGAUGCUAAAUAUUGAUUUUGACAUCUUAUUUGUUGAACUGUAAAACUCCACAAGAGAAAAACAUUUGAGAUGGAUGGUCAGAUGGUAGUGGUUGGUGUUGUUGGGUUUGUUAUGACAUUAUCCAAGGAAGAGACCAUUAUGAAGUACUGCUACAAAUAGGAAGCUAAUAAAAACUAAGGAAAUUCAGGCACAGUUGUAGAAACCGAACAAGUAUGUUUGUGUCAACCAUGUGUUAACUCUCACAUGUAUCAAAUUUGAAUGUCAUCCCUUAUAUUUCGAGGUACCAUGGCUUGAAUAAGCUUGAGCUAUAUGUAAAAAAUGUAUUUCAAUAAUCAUCUGUUUCUCUGAAAUCUUAUUUACACCAACAUUCAUAUUAUCAGUUAAUUAUAUAAUAAGAGGUGAUGUGUGAAUUAGUUUUUAAUUGAUGUUUGUACCUCUAAGAGUUAAUUGAGCAUUGUAAGGAUAAUUUUACUGAUACUUGUAUGUCAUCUUCUUUUGUUGAGAAACAUGUAUGUGUUCUUUCAAAUUCACU
This is a long non-coding RNA of Solanum pennellii, 1279 nucleotides long. RefSeq lists it as uncharacterized. The record is from RefSeq and is a predicted model, not a curated record. Lineage: Eukaryota; Viridiplantae; Streptophyta; Magnoliopsida; Solanales; Solanaceae. The transcript is spliced from 4 exons.